GCGAGGUUUAGCAAAUCUCUUAAAGCCGUUCUCAGUUCGGAUUGUAGGCUGCAACUCGCCUACAUGAAGUCGGAAUCGCUAGUAAUCGCGGAUCAGCAUGCCGCGGUGAAUACGUUCCCGGGUCUUGUACACACCGCCCGUCACACCAUGGGAGCCGGAAAUGCCCGAAGUCAGUGGCCCAACCGCAAGGAGGGAGCUGCCGAAGGUGGAGCUGGUGACUGGGGUGAAGUCGUAACAAGGUAUC
This 244-nucleotide ribosomal RNA is filed under the name uncultured bacterium. RNAcentral describes it as "partial 16S ribosomal RNA". It matches the Rfam family "Bacterial small subunit ribosomal RNA", at positions 1257 to 1500 of the family's 1533-position model. The record is from RNAcentral.